AAUUCGUGGUGUGGGCACUUUCGGAUUAGCAUUUUCAAACGCUCCCAUGCUUCGUGAAAGCUUUCCCCUUUUGAUUGUUUGAACAUCAACAUUUCCCUUCUUUGUU
Non-coding RNA from Gossypium arboreum, 106 nucleotides. Lineage: Eukaryota; Viridiplantae; Streptophyta; Magnoliopsida; Malvales; Malvaceae. The record is from Rfam.